RNAcentral lists this ribosomal RNA (448 nucleotides) under uncultured bacterium. RNAcentral's name for it is "bacterial SSU rRNA". It matches the Rfam family "Bacterial small subunit ribosomal RNA", at positions 330 to 794 of the family's 1533-position model. The record is from RNAcentral.
CCCAGACUCCUACGGGAGGCAGCAGUGGGGAAUAUUGCACAAUGGGGGAAACCCUGAUGCAGCGACGCCGCGUGAGUGAAGAAGUAUUUCGGUAUGUAAAGCUCUAUCAGCAGGGAAGAAAAAAGACGGUACCUGACUAAGAAGCCCCGGCUAACUACGUGCCAGCAGCCGCGGUAAUACGUAGGGGGCAAGCGUUAUCCGGAUUUACUGGGUGUAAAGGGAGCGUAGACGGCGCGGCAAGUCUGAAGUGAAAGGCAGGGGCUUAACCCCUGAACUGCUUUGGAAACUGCCAUGCUAGAGUGCUGGAGAGGUAAGUGGAAUUCCUAGUGUAGCGGUGAAAUGCGUAGAUAUUAGGAGGAACACCGGCGGCGAAGGCGGCCUGCUGGACCGUAACUGACGUUGAGGCUCGAAAGCGUGGGGAGCAAACAGGAUUAGAUACCCCAGUAAU